CCUACGGGAGGCAGCAGUCGAGAAUUAUUCACAAUGGGGGAAACCCUGAUGGUGCGACGCCGCGUGGGGGAAUGAAGGUCUUCGGAUUGUAAACCCCUGUCAUGUGGGAGCAAAUUAAAAAGAUAGUACCACAAGAGGAAGAGACGGCUAACUCUGUGCCAGCAGCCGCGGUAAUACAGAGGUCUCAAGCGUUGUUCGGAAUCACUGGGCGUAAGGCGUGCGUAGGCUGUUUCGUAAGUCGUGUGUGAAAGGCGCGGGCUCAACCCGCGGACGGCACAUGAUACUGCGAGACUAGAGUAAUGGAGGGGGAACCGGAAGUCUCGGGGUAGCAGUGAAAUGCGUAGAUAUCGAGAGGAACACUCGUGGCGAAGGCGGGUUCCUGGACAUUAACUGACGCUGAGGCACGAAGGCCAGGGGAGCGAAAGGGAUUAGAUACCCGAGUAGUC
This 446-nucleotide ribosomal RNA is filed under the name uncultured bacterium. RNAcentral describes it as "partial 16S ribosomal RNA". It matches the Rfam family "Bacterial small subunit ribosomal RNA", at positions 338 to 795 of the family's 1533-position model. The record is from RNAcentral.